This 468-nucleotide ribosomal RNA is filed under the name uncultured bacterium. RNAcentral describes it as "partial 16S ribosomal RNA". It matches the Rfam family "Bacterial small subunit ribosomal RNA", at positions 28 to 507 of the family's 1533-position model. The record is from RNAcentral.
GACGAACGCUGGCGGCGUGCUUAACACAUGCAAGUCGAACGGAAAGGCCCUGCUUUUGUGGGGUGCUCGAGUGGCGAACGGGUGAGUAACACGUGAGUAUCCUGCCCUUGACUUUGGGAUAACUUCAGGAAACUGGGGCUAAUACCGGAUAGGAGCUCCUGCUGCAUGGUGGGGGUUGGAAAGUUUCGGCGGUUGGGGAUGGACUCGCGGCUUAUCAGCUUGUUGGUGGGGUAGUGUCUUACCAAGGCUUUGACGGGUAGCCGGACUGAGAGGGUGACCGGCCACAUUGGGACUGAGAUACGGCCCAGACUCCUACCGGUGGCAGCAGUGGGGAAUAUUGCACCAUGGGCGGAAGCCUGAUGCAGCAACGCCGCGUGCGGGAUGACGGCCGUCGGGUUGUAAACCGCUUUCGCCUGUCACGAUGCGGGAGUGACGGAAAUUGGUAAAGAAGCACCGGCUAGCUACGUG